Molecule: ribosomal RNA, 1355 nt
Filed under: uncultured bacterium
Lineage: Bacteria
Description: bacterial SSU rRNA
Rfam family: Bacterial small subunit ribosomal RNA
Source: RNAcentral
AUUCGAUUAGAGUUUGAUCAUGGCUCAGAACGUACGCUGGCGGCACGCCUAACACAUGCAAGUCGAACGAAGUAGCAAUACUUAGUGGCAGACGGGUGAGUAACAUGUGGGUAUCUGCCCUUUGGCCUGGAAUAACACGAGGAAACUUGUGCUAAUACUGGAUAAGUCUUUACGGAGAAAGCUUUAUGCACCAUUGGAUGAGCCCGCACUUGAUUAGUUUGUUGGUGGGGUAAUGGCCUACCAAGACUGUGAUCAAUAGCUGAUUUGAGAGGAUGAUCAGCCACAUUGGGACUGAGACACGGCCCAAACUCCUACGGGAGGCAGCAGUGGGGAAUCUUGCACAAUGGAGGAAACUCUGAUGCAGCGAUGCCGCGUGAGUGAAGAAGGCCUUUGGGUUGUAAAGCUCUUUCGUCGGGGAAGAAAAUGACUGUACCCGAAUAAGAAGGUCCGGCUAACUUCGUGCCAGCAGCCGCGGUAAUACGAAGGGACCUAGCGUAGUUCGGAAUUACUGGGCUUAAAGAGUUCGUAGGUGGUUGAAAAAGUUGGUGGUGAAAUCCCAGAGCUUAACUCUGGAACUGCCAUCAAAACUUUUCAGCUAGAGUUUGAUAGAGGAAAGCAGAAUUUCUAGUGUAGAGGUGAAAUUCGUAGAUAUUAGAAAGAAUACCAAUUGCGAAGGCAGCUUUCUGGAUCAUUACUGACACUGAGGAACGAAAGCAUGGGUAGCGAAGAGGAUUAGAUACCCUCGUAGUCCAUGCCGUAAACGAUGUGUGUUAGACGUUGGAAAUUUAUUUUCAGUGUCGCAGCGAAAGCGAUAAACACACCGCCUGGGGAGUACGACCGCAAGGUUAAAACUCAAAUGAAUUGACGGGGACCCGCACAAGUAGUGGAGCAUGUGGUUUAAUUCGAAGAUACGCGCAGAACCUUACCAACACUUGACAUGUUCGUCGCGACUUUAAGAGAUUAAAGUUUUCGGUUCGGCCGGACGAAACACAGGUGCUGCAUGGCUGUCGUCAGCUCGUGUCGUGAGAUGUUGGGUUAAGUCCCGCAACGAGCGCAACCCUCACUUUUAGUUGCCAUCAUUAAGUUGGGCACUCUGAAAGAACUGCCAGUGAUAAGCUGGAGGAAGGUGGGGAUGACGUCAAGUCCUCAUGGCCCUUACGUGUUGGGCUACACACGUGCUACAAUGGUAUCUACAACAGGAAGCGAAACAGCGAUGUUAAGCAAAUCCUUAAAAGAUACCUCAGUUCGGAUUGCACUCUGCAACUCGAGUGCAUGAAGCUGGAAUUACUAGUAAUCGUGGAUCAGCGUGCCACGGUGAAUGCGUUCCCUGGGUCUUGUACACACCGCCCGUAAUC